RNAcentral lists this ribosomal RNA (253 nucleotides) under uncultured bacterium. Its description in RNAcentral is "partial 16S ribosomal RNA". It matches the Rfam family "Bacterial small subunit ribosomal RNA", at positions 524 to 776 of the family's 1533-position model. The record is from RNAcentral.
UACAGAGGUCCCAAGCGUUGUUCGGAUUCACUGGGCGUAAAGGGUGCGUAGGUGGUGAGGUAAGUCGGAUGUGAAAGCUCAGGGCUCAACCCUGAAAUUGCAUCCGAUACUGCGGUGCUUGAGAAAUGAAGGGGAGUCUAGAAUUUUCGGUGUAGCAGUGAGAUGCGUAGAUAUCGAAAGGAAUACCAAAGGCGAAGGCAGGACUCUGGGCAUUUUCUGACGCUGAUGCGCGAAGGCCAGGGUAGCGAACGGG